AUUGAACGCUGGCGGCGUGCUUAACACAUGCAAGUCGUGCGGUAACAGGCGUAGCAAUACGUGCUGACGAGCGGCGAACGGGUGCGUAAUACAUGGGAAUCUGCCUUUUAGUGGGGAAUAACCCGGCGAAAGCCGGGCUAAUGCCGCAUAAGAUCUUCGGAUGAAAGCGGGGGAUCGUAAGACCUCGCGCUGAUAGAUGAGCCCAUGCCGGAUUAGCUAGUGGUGAGGUAACGGCUCACCAAGGCGACGAUCCGUAGCUGGUCUGAGAGGACGGCCAGCCACACUGGGACUGAGACACGGCCCAGACUCCUACGGGAGGCAGCAGUGGGGAAUAUUGGACAAUGGGGGAAACCCUGAUCCAGCGACGCCGCGUGUGUGAAGAAGGCCUGGCGGGUUGUAAAGCACUUUCAGUAGGGAAGAAAGCCG
This 426-nucleotide ribosomal RNA is filed under the name uncultured bacterium. Its description in RNAcentral is "bacterial SSU rRNA". It matches the Rfam family "Bacterial small subunit ribosomal RNA", at positions 29 to 454 of the family's 1533-position model. The record is from RNAcentral.